AUUGAACGCUGGCGGCAGGCCUAACACAUGCAAGUCGAACGAGUGGCGGACGGGUGAGUAAUGUAUGGGAAGCUGCCUGAUGGAGGGGGAUAACUACUGGAAACGGUAGCUAAUACCGCAUACCAUCAGAUGUGCCCAGAUGGGAUUGGCUUGUUGGUGGGGUAACGGCCCACCAAGGCGACGAUCCCUAGCUGGUCUGAGAGGAUGACCCGCCAAACUGGAACGGAGACACGGUCCAGACUCCUCCGGGAGGCAGCAGUGGGGAAUAUUGCACAAUGGGCGAAAGCCUGAUGCAGCAAUGCCGCGUGUAGGAAGAAGGCCUUCGGGUUGUAAAGUACUUUCAGCGGGGAGGCGUUACCCGCAGAAGAAGCACCGGCUAACUCCGUGCCAGCAGCCGCGGUAAUAC
This 406-nucleotide ribosomal RNA is filed under the name uncultured bacterium. RNAcentral describes it as "partial 16S ribosomal RNA". It matches the Rfam family "Bacterial small subunit ribosomal RNA", at positions 30 to 526 of the family's 1533-position model. The record is from RNAcentral.